RNAcentral lists this ribosomal RNA (458 nucleotides) under uncultured bacterium. RNAcentral describes it as "partial 16S ribosomal RNA". It matches the Rfam family "Bacterial small subunit ribosomal RNA", at positions 338 to 795 of the family's 1533-position model. The record is from RNAcentral.
CCUACGGGAGGCAGCAGUAGGGAAUCUUUCACAAUGGGCGAAAGCCUGAUGGAGCAACGCCGCGUGCAGGAUGAAGGCCUUCGGGUUGUAAACUGCUUUUGUCGGGGAGCAAAAGACGCCACGCGUGGCGUUCCGAGAGUACCCGAAGAAAAAGCAUCGGCUAACUCCGUGCCAGCAGCCGCGGUAAUACGGAGGAUGCGAGCGUUAUCCGGAUUUAUUGGGUUUAAAGGGUGCGCAGGCGGAAGAUCAAGUCAGCGGUAAAAUUGAGAGGCUCAACCUCUUCGAGCCGUUGAAACUGGUUUUCUUGAGUGAGCGAGAAGUAUGCGGAAUGCGUGGUGUAGCGGUGAAAUGCAUAGAUAUCACGCAGAACUCCGAUUGCGAAGGCAGCAUACCGGCGCUCAACUGACGCUCAUGCACGAAAGUGUGGGUAUCGAACAGGAUUAGAUACCCGAGUAGUC